This 244-nucleotide ribosomal RNA is filed under the name uncultured bacterium. RNAcentral's name for it is "partial 16S ribosomal RNA". It matches the Rfam family "Bacterial small subunit ribosomal RNA", at positions 335 to 596 of the family's 1533-position model. The record is from RNAcentral.
CAGCCUACGGGCCGCAGCAGUGGGGAAUAUUGCACAAUGGGGGAAACCCUGACGCAGCGACGCCGCGUGAGCGAUGAAGUAUUUCGGUAUGUAAAGCUCUAUCAGCAGGGAAGAAAAUGACGGUACCUGACUAAGGAGCCCCGGCUAACUACGUGCCAGCAGCCGCGGUAAUACGUAGGGGGCAAGCGUUAUCCGGAUUUACUGGGUGUAAAGGGAGCGUAGACGGGCCUGCAAGCCAGAUGUG